UUGCGCUGUGCUGCACAUAAUGCGCAGAACAUCCUUCAUGUACAGUCAUUGCAAAUCCCUGUGAAUUUUGGGCACAUAUGCUAACGCAGGUUUGAUUUUCGUGAACAUAUUGUACAGCCAGUGAGGACAUGGAACCUUGAAAGUAUGGCGGAUGCUGAGGAGCCGGAGAAGAAAAGAAGGAAAAUAGAGGAGCUGACUGAGAAAAUGGCUGUAGAUGGAGGACAUAAAGAUAGUGGAGACUGGGAUGGCCGAUGGAACCAUGUGAAGAAGUUCCUGGAAAGACCCGGCCCAUUUACUCAUCCUGACUUUGAGCCAAGCGUUGAGUCCCUUGGAUUCUUAUUGGAGACAUGCAAAAUCCUGGUCAUUGGAGCUGGAGGACUUGGAUGUGAGCUGCUCAAAAAUCUGGCUCUUUCAGGUUUUCGUCACAUUCAUGUUGUUGACAUGGAUACCAUCGAUAUCUCCAACCUCAACAGGCAGUUCCUUUUCAGGCCCAACGAUGUUGGCCGGCCAAAAGCAGAUGUGGCUGCUGACUUUGUCAAUAAUCGCAUCCCUGGAUGUAAAGUUGUCCCACACUUCAACAAAAUACAAGACUUUGAUGAAUCUUUCUAUAGACAAUUCCACAUUAUUGUUUGUGGAUUAGAUUCGAUCAUCGCCAGGCGUUGGAUGAAUGGCAUGCUGAUAUCCCUUCUGAGCUACAAUGAUGGUGUUCUGGACCCCAGUUCCAUCAUCCCCCUCAUUGACGGUGGGACGGAGGGUUUCAAAGGCAAUGCUCGGGUCAUUCUGCCUGGCAUGACCGCGUGCAUCGACUGCACUCUGGCGCUUUACCCACCACAGAUUAAUUUCCCCAUGUGCACCAUUGCGUCUAUGCCGCGGUUGCCAGAGCACUGCGUUGAGUAUGUCAGAAUGCUACAGUGGCCCAAAGACGAGCCUUUUGGAGAGGGUGUUGGUUUGGAUGGGGAUAACCCUGAGCACAUCCAGUGGGUGUUCCAGAGGGCCCAUGAGAGAGCUGCUGACUACAACAUCACAGGAGUCACAUAUAGACUAACACAAGGUGUCGUGAAGAGGAUCAUCCCUGCUGUCGCGUCAACUAAUGCUGUAAUAGCUGCUGCCUGCUCCACUGAAGUUUUUAAAAUGGCUUCAAGCGCUUAUAUUCCACUGAAUAAUUAUCUGGUAUUUAAUGAUGUGGACGGACUGUACACCUACACGUUCGAGGCAGAGCGAAAGGAGAACUGCUCAGCUUGUAGCCAGGUGCCCCAGGAUCUACAGUUCCCACCCUCUGCCAAGCUACAGGAGGUCCUGGAGUACCUGACUGAGAACGCCUCCCUCUUUCAUCUUUUCCAGACAAAUGAAGUCCCCAGCCAUCACAGCAACCCUGGAAGGGAAAAAUAAGACACUAUAUCUACAGACUGUAGCUUCAAUUGAAGAAAGAACUAGACCCAACCUUUGCAAAACCUUGAAAGAACUGGGAUUGUCUGAUGGACAGGAACUAGCAGUGGCAGAUAUCACCACACCUCAGACUGUCCUCUUCAAGCUGAAACUCACCUCUUAAACCGUCAAAGUACACAUACAGAAUCUAUCAAGACAUUUGACAACCUUUGGGGAAAGUGAUACAGCGUGGUAUUGUUUUAAUAUAUUUGAGACUGAUCAUGUAUGUAAGAUCCAUUAUGGCGGGUAGUGUGGAAGGUCAACAACUUUAUAUCAUUACAAUGUAAUCAGUCGGAACGUUUUCCUUAACAAUUCUGUUUUACUUAUUAAUGUUUGCUCCAAAUGGAUAUCUUCUUUCCCCCAUUCAAAAUAAGUAGUUUCUCCUUAUAUACAUAAUGACAACUGUGCUGCAAUAAAGUGUUUUGUUAAUGAAA
This is an RNA transcript of Oncorhynchus masou masou (cherry salmon), 1859 nucleotides long. It is a transcript of the gene named NEDD8-activating enzyme E1 catalytic subunit-like, with no coding region annotated. The record is from RefSeq and is a predicted model, not a curated record. The transcript is spliced from 17 exons. NCBI's taxonomy places the organism in Eukaryota, Metazoa, Chordata, Actinopteri, Salmoniformes, Salmonidae.